GGAGGGUUGGCAGAGCGGUCGAAUGCGGCGGUCUUGAAAACCGUUGUGGGUGAUGAGCCCACCGGGGGUUCGAAUCCCUCACCCUCCGCCA
Molecule: transfer RNA, 91 nt
Filed under: Thermonema lapsum
Lineage: Bacteria; Pseudomonadati; Bacteroidota; Cytophagia; Cytophagales; Thermonemataceae
Also listed under: 1 other name
Description: tRNA-Ser
Rfam family: tRNA
About the family: Transfer RNA (tRNA) molecules are approximately 80 nucleotides in length. Their secondary structure includes four short double-helical elements and three loops (D, anti-codon, and T loops). Further hydrogen bonds mediate the characteristic L-shaped molecular structure. tRNAs have two regions of fundamental functional importance: the anti-codon, which is responsible for specific mRNA codon recognition, and the 3' end, to which the tRNAs corresponding amino acid is attached (by aminoacyl-tRNA synthetases). tRNAs cope with the degeneracy of the genetic code in two manners: having more than one tRNA (with a specific anti-codon) for a particular amino acid; and 'wobble' base-pairing, i.e. permitting non-standard base-pairing at the 3rd anti-codon position.
Source: RNAcentral